Molecule: ribosomal RNA, 468 nt
Filed under: uncultured bacterium
Lineage: Bacteria
Description: partial 16S ribosomal RNA
Rfam family: Bacterial small subunit ribosomal RNA
Source: RNAcentral
GACGAACGCUGGCGGCGUGCUUAACACAUGCAAGUCGAACGGAAAGGCCCUGCUUUUGUGUGGUGCUCGAGUGGCGAACGUGUGAGUAACACGUGAGUAACCUUCCCUUUACUUUGGGAUAACUUCAGGAAACUGGGGCUAAUACCUGAUAGGAGCUCCUGCUGCAUGGUGGGGGUUGGAAAGUUUCGGCGGUUGGGGAUGGACUCGCGGCUUAUCAGCUUGUUGGUGGGGUAGUGGCUUACCAAGGCUUUGACGGGUAGCCGGCCUGAGAGGGUGACCGGCCACAUUGGGACUGAGAUACGGCCCAGACGCCUAAGGGAGGCAGCAGGGGGGAAUAUGGAACAAUGGGCGGAAGCCUGAUGAAGAAACGCCGCGUGCGGGAUGAAGGCCUUCGGGUUGUAAACCGCUGUAGCCUGUGACGAAGCGUGAGUGACGGUAAUGGGUAAAGAAGCACCGGCUAACUACGUG